CAUUGGCUACACAUUUUACCUAGCAUAGCUUCAGUCCAGUCCUAAAGGGUUCCUAAAAUUCAGAAGUAUUCCAACUGUAUAACACAGAAACACACACCGGCUACUUUGUAGUUUAAAUCUGGUUCUCAUGGUAUUGUUACUAUCAAUAUUAUACAGUCUUUUUUAAUAUUUAAUCUUCCUUUACAUCUACAACAGUAGUUCUCAACCUUCCUAAUGCUGUGACCCUUUAAUAUAGUUCCUCAUGCUGCAGUAAUACCCCCAACUUAUAAUUAUUUUGUUGCUACUUCAUAACUGUAAUGUUGCAACUAUUAUGAAUCAUAAUGUAAAAAUCUGAUCUGCAAUUCCAGGGGUCCACAGGUUGUAGACCAUUAAUCUAUGGGAUUCUUAAAAUCAACUGUCCCUUUUCCUUCUGUAUUUCUAAUCUCUUUAAGUUAAUAGCAGUAAGGAAGUUAGGUAAAUUAGGUAAGGAAGUCUGCCCUGACUGUGAUGUCCAGUCUCUUGGUUUGUUCUUCAGGUUGGCUUUGGCUAGUCACCCUUUACCUCAGAUCUUUGAUUACAGAACCCAUCAUGUGGAAAUGAUACCUUGACCUCAGCAUGCAGGUUGAGGACCCCAGCAAUUUUAACAGUAGAACAAAAACCUAGUGCGUUAUUGUGGCAAUGUAGUGACUAUUCUGUUAAAAGAGCAGAGAUUUUAAGUUGGUUGUUGAAAACUGUUGAAAACUAUGGGUUUAGUUUCACUUUGUUUUUUGAUUGUUUUUUUUUUUUUUCCCAAACAUUCUCCCCUUGGUUUACAUUGCCCAGUUAAGAAUUUAAAAGGACGCCUUUGCUAAAGCCUCAGGUUCCACCUGGUUUGGGGGUGAAAGCACAGGAAGCCACUGCAUUUUGCAUAGUUUCCAUUUGAAAAGGUCUACCAGCCCGGGUUCUCUUUCAGGGUGGGCCAGGCUUCCGGGAACCUUGGCCAAGCCUUUAGAUAAACCUGCUGGAGGUUGGGAUUUUGUAUCAGAUCCUCAAAUGCCACUCAGCUAGUUCCACCUUUGAAAAGCUGCCAUUGUAAUGUCCCCAGAGUGUGCAUAGCCAUUCCUAAAGGGUGAGGUGGACUGACACCUCGUAGUGUAAUGUGGGGGAGAAUUUUUCAGCCACUUGGCAUUUGUUCACUCUAAUUGGGAAACCAGACAGGCUGGGUUAUAGAGGCUCUGGUGUCAGGCAAAGUAUUUGAGGAAGGAAUUUCUUUUGAUGUCUCAACAAAAGGAUUUUCAAGUAAAUAGCUUGGAGACCUAUUUAAUUCUUUUUCUUUUUUGCUUUGUUUCUUCCUUUACUUAAACAUUCAUCAAUGCAACCAAUAUUCACCAAGCAUUCCUACAGGCCAGGUGUGUUUUAAAUGCCUGUCAUUGUGACAACACCUGAGCAGAUCAACUCAGGAAAACACUUUGUUUGCACUGUGUCAGGAGAGGACAAAAGACCGAAGUGUGUGGCAGAGAAGACUGCUCACUUCAUGGAUGAGACAGGGAUGUCGAUAUUCCCUUCGAAGGCAGGCCCCAAAUGCUCUGUCUUCCAUUAGACUUCCUGCCUAAAGGUUUCACUACUUCCUGGGUACACCAGAGUUGAUCAACAAAACCUUCAGAGAAAAACCUUUGGGGCACAUCUAAGAAUCAAACUAUGAAACCAAUCAGGAUGCCAUGUGCCCAUAAUUUCAGCCUUCAAGAGGCCAGUGCAGAAGGCUCACAAAUUCAAAUGUGAGCCUGAGCUACAUAAUAAGACACACUAUAAAAUACAAAACAAACAAAUAAAAAACAAAAAAUAAUCAAACUAUAGAAUAUGCCAAGCCUCAUUCUAAGAAUUUGAAAUGUAUCAGCGAGUAAAAUAUUUAGAGACCUGGAACUCUGUGUAUAUCAUGUUCUAGUAAGAGGAGGAAGAUAAUCUACUCAUUUCUACCAAGUCUAUAUAGUCUAUUAGAACAGAGAGCAAAAUGAGCAAUCAGGUACAUUGCAAUGCUAAAAAGGAAGGUUUGCUGAGAAAAGGUUUAAAUUUGAAGGACAUAGAGAAGUCGAAGCUGGGAAUCUUAUAGAACACCAGGAAAUGGAGGGAUGGCUCAGUGGUUAAGGAUACCCACAAGUUCAGUUCCCAGCACCCCUGUUGGCACUGACAACUACUUAUGACUUUAGCCCCAGGGUAUCUGUGUUCACAUGCAUAUGUGUCCCCAAUACAUAUGCAUAAUUAAGAAUAAUAAAAAUAAUCUUUAAGAAAGAAAGCAUUCCAUCGAGGAAAAAACUAACAUAAAAAGACCACUAUAAACC
Molecule: long non-coding RNA, 2294 nt
Filed under: Mus musculus (house mouse)
Lineage: Eukaryota; Metazoa; Chordata; Mammalia; Rodentia; Muridae
Description: long non-coding RNA chr1:12743780-12746074
Source: RNAcentral